Gymnodraco acuticeps is the source of this 196-nucleotide long non-coding RNA. RefSeq lists it as uncharacterized. NCBI's taxonomy places the organism in Eukaryota, Metazoa, Chordata, Actinopteri, Perciformes, Bathydraconidae. The record is from RefSeq and is a predicted model, not a curated record. The transcript has 3 exons.
CGCCUGAAGAGAAGAGACAGAUAUCACAAAUCGGAUUAUACUACAAGACGAGUCAAGGGGAUCACUGCAAUACACAAGGCCAAGUAAAAAUGGAAAGGGAGGUGGUGCUUUGGGCCGUUGUACUUUUUCCAAAUGGCGGAGCUGCAACAGUUCUUGCCAGCUGGUUCAGUCUAAAGGAAGGUAAAUUGUUAUGGCC